RNAcentral lists this ribosomal RNA (497 nucleotides) under uncultured bacterium. RNAcentral's name for it is "partial 16S ribosomal RNA". It matches the Rfam family "Bacterial small subunit ribosomal RNA", at positions 28 to 507 of the family's 1533-position model. The record is from RNAcentral.
GACGAACGCUGGCGGCGUGCCUAAUACAUGCAAGUUGAGCGCUGAAGGUUGGUACUUGUACCAACUGGAUGAGCAGCGAACGGGUGAGUAACGCGUGGGGAAUCUGCCUUUGAGCGGGGGACAACAUUUGGAAACGAAUGCUAAUACCGCAUAAAAACUUUAAACACAAGUUUUAAGUUUGAAAGAUGCAAUUACAUCACUCAAAGAUGAUCCCGCGUUGUAUUAGCUAGUUGGUGAGGUAAAGGCUCACCAAGGCGAUGAUACAUAGCCGACCUGAGAGGGUGAUCGGCCACAUUGGGACUGAGACACGGCCCAAACUCCUACGGGAGGCAGCAGUAGGGAAUCUUCGGCAAUGGACGAAAGUCUGACCGAGCAACGCCGCGGGAGUGAAGAAGGUUUUCGGAUCGUAAAACUCUGUUGGUAGAGAAGAACGUUGGUGAGAGUGGAAAGCUCAUCAAGUGACGGUAACUACCCAGAAAGGGACGGCUAACUACGUG